ACUCAAAGGAAUUGACGGGGGCCCGCACAAGCAGCGGAGCAUGUGGUUUAAUUCGACGCAACGCGAAGAACCUUACCUGGGCUUGACAUGUUCGUGACCCCCCUGGAAACAGGGGUUCUCUUCGGAGCACGAUCACAGGUGGUGCAUGGCUGUCGUCAGCUCGUGUCGUGAGAUGUUGGGUUAAGUCCCGCAACGAGCGCAACCCCCGUCGCAUGUUGCCAGCAUUUAGUUGGGGACUCAUGCGAGACUGCCGGUGACAAACCGGAGGAAGGUGGGGAUGACGUCAAGUCAUCAUGCCCCUUAUGUUCAGGGCUACACACGUGCUACAUUGGCGCGUACAGAGGGCUGCGAUACCGCGAGGUGGAGCGAAUCCCUCAAAGCGCGUCUCGGUUCGGAUUGCAGGCUGAAACCCGCCUGCAUGAAGGUGGAGUUGCUAGUAAUCGCGGAUCAGCAUUGCCGCGGUGAAUACGUUCCCGGGCCUUGUACACACCGCCCGU
Molecule: ribosomal RNA, 497 nt
Filed under: uncultured bacterium
Lineage: Bacteria
Description: partial 16S ribosomal RNA
Rfam family: Bacterial small subunit ribosomal RNA
Source: RNAcentral